RNAcentral lists this signal recognition particle RNA (98 nucleotides) under Synergistaceae bacterium. RNAcentral describes it as "signal recognition particle sRNA small type". It matches the Rfam family "Bacterial small signal recognition particle RNA". From Rfam's summary of the family: The signal recognition particle (SRP) is a universally conserved ribonucleoprotein involved in the co-translational targeting of proteins to membranes. The record is from RNAcentral. Lineage: Bacteria; Thermotogati; Synergistota; Synergistia; Synergistales; Synergistaceae.
AGUUCAGUCCUAUGCGGCGAAAGCUCGUGAAAUCUGUCAGGUUCGGAAGAAAGCAGCAGUAAGUGAUGUUUUUUGGGUGCUGUAGGAGCCUGGACUCC